Molecule: non-coding RNA, 122 nt
Organism: Ovis aries (sheep)
Lineage: Eukaryota; Metazoa; Chordata; Mammalia; Artiodactyla; Bovidae
Source: Rfam
GCCUACGGCCAUGCCACUCUGAUCACACCUGAUCUCGACUGACCUCUUAAGCUAAGCAGGGUCUGACCUGGUUAGUACUUGGAUGGAAGAAUCCCUCAAUUCCACUCCAGGCUGUGCCUGCA